UACGUAGGGGGCCAGCGUUGUUCGGAAUUACUGGGCGUAAAGGGUUCGUAGGCGGUGUGGCAAGUCGGGAGUGAAAUCUCUGGGCUCAACUCAGAGACUGCUUCCGAAACUGCUGUGCUGGAGUGUGGGAGAGGCGCGUGGAAUUGCAGGUGUAGCGGUGAAAUGCGUAGAUAUCUGCAGGAACACCCGUGGCGAAAGCGGCGCGCUGGACCGCUACUGACGCUGAGGAACGAAAGCUAGGGGAGCAAACAGG
Molecule: ribosomal RNA, 253 nt
Filed under: uncultured bacterium
Lineage: Bacteria
Description: partial 16S ribosomal RNA
Rfam family: Bacterial small subunit ribosomal RNA
Source: RNAcentral